Molecule: ribosomal RNA, 585 nt
Filed under: uncultured bacterium
Lineage: Bacteria
Description: partial 16S ribosomal RNA
Rfam family: Bacterial small subunit ribosomal RNA
Source: RNAcentral
UGGGGAAUUUUGGACAAUGGGCGAAAGCCUGAUCCAGCAAUGCCGCGUGUGUGAAGAAGGCCUUCGGGUUGUAAAGCACUUUUGUCCGGAAAGAAAUCCUUGGCUCUAAUACAGUCGGGGGAUGACGGUACCGGAAGAAUAAGCACCGGCUAACUACGUGCCAGCAGCCGCGGUAAUACGUAGGGUGCAAGCGUUAAUCGGAAUUACUGGGCGUAAAGCGUGCGCAGGCGGUUUGCUAAGACCGAUGUGAAAUCCCCGGGCUCAACCUGGGAACUGCAUUGGUGACUGGCAGGCUAGAGUAUGGCAGAGGGGGGUAGAAUUCCACGUGUAGCAGUGAAAUGCGUAGAGAUGUGGAGGAAUACCGAUGGCGAAGGCAGCCCCCUGGGCCAAUACUGACGCUCGUGCACGAAAGCGUGGGGAGCAAACAGGAUUAGAUACCCUGGUAGUCCACGCCCUAAACGAUGUCAACUAGUUGUUGGGGAUUCAUUUCCUUAGUAACGUAGCUAACGCGUGAAGUUGACCGCCUGGGGAGUACGGUCGCAAGAUUAAAACUCAAAGGAAUUGACGGGGUCAUAGCUGUUUCCU